Molecule: ribosomal RNA, 467 nt
Filed under: uncultured bacterium
Lineage: Bacteria
Description: partial 16S ribosomal RNA
Rfam family: Bacterial small subunit ribosomal RNA
Source: RNAcentral
GACGAACGCUGGCGGCGUGCUUAACACAUGCAAGUCGAACGGAAAGGCCUCUCUUGGGGGGUACUCGAGUGGCGAACGGGUGAGUAACACGUGAGUAACCUGCUCGUGGCGUUGGGAUAACUUCAGGAAACUGGGGCUAAUACCGGAUAGGAGCUCCUGCUGCAUGGUGGGGGCUGGAAAGUUUCAGCGGUUGGGGGUGGACUCGCGGCUUAUCAGCGUGGUGGUGGGGUAGUGGUUCACCAAGGCCUUGACGGGUAGCCGGACUGAGAGGGUGACCGGCCGCACUGAGUCUGAGAGGCGGCCCAGGCGCCUACGGGAGGCAGAUGUGGGGAAGAUUGCACCAUGGGUGGAGGCCGGAUGCAGCAACGCCGUGUACGGGAUAACGGCCUUCGGGUUGUAGACCGCUUUCGCUCAUGACGAAGCUUUGUGUGACGGUAGUGAGUAAAGAAGCACCGGCUAACUACGUG